This 468-nucleotide ribosomal RNA is filed under the name uncultured bacterium. RNAcentral describes it as "partial 16S ribosomal RNA". It matches the Rfam family "Bacterial small subunit ribosomal RNA", at positions 28 to 507 of the family's 1533-position model. The record is from RNAcentral.
GACGAACGCUGGCGGCGUGCUUAACACAUGCAAGUCGAACGGAAAGGCCCUGCUUUUGUUGGUUUCUCGAGUGGCGAACGCGUGAGUAACACGUGAGUAACCUGCCCUUGACUUUGGGAUAACUUCAGGAAACUGCGGCUAAUACCGGAUAGGAGCUCCUGCUGCAUGGUGGGGGUUGGAAAGUUUCGGCGGUUCGGGAUGGACUCGCGGCUUAUCAGCUUGUUGGUGGGGUAGUUGCUUACCAAGGCUUUGACGGGUAGCCGGCCUGAGAGGGUGACCGGGCACAUUGGGACUGAGAUACGGCCCAGACUGCUACGGGAGGCAGCAGGGGGGAAUAUUGCACAAUGGGCGGAAGCCUGAUGCAGCAACGCCGCGUGCGGGAUGACGGCCUUCGGGUUGUAAACCGCUUUCGCCUGUGACGAAGCGUGAGUGACGGUAAUGGGUAAAGAAGCAACGGCUAACUACGUG